GAUGAACGCUGGCGGCGUGCCUAAUACAUGCAAGUCGAGCGAACAGACGAGGAGCUUGCUCCUCUGACGUUAGCGGCGGACGGGUGAGUAACACGUGGAUAACCUACCUAUAAGACUGGGAUAACUUCGGGAAACCGGAGCUAAUACCGGAUAAUAUAUUGAACCGCCUGGUUCAAUAGUGAAAGACGGGUUUGCUGUCACUUAUAGAUGGAUCCGCGCCGCAUUAGCUAGUUGGUAAGGUAACGGCUUACCAAGGCAACGAUGCGUAGCCGACCUGAGAGGGUGAUCGGCCACACUGGAACUGAGACACGGUCCAGACUCCUACGGGAGGCAGCAGUAGGGAAUCUUCCGCAAUGGGCGAAAGCCUGACGGAGCAACGCCGCGUGAGUGAUGAAGGUCUUCGGAUCGUAAAACUCUGUUAUUAGGGAAGAACAAAUGUGUAAGUAACUAUGCACGUCUUGACGGUACCUAAUCAGAAAGCCACGGCUAACUACGUG
This 497-nucleotide ribosomal RNA is filed under the name uncultured bacterium. RNAcentral describes it as "partial 16S ribosomal RNA". It matches the Rfam family "Bacterial small subunit ribosomal RNA", at positions 28 to 507 of the family's 1533-position model. The record is from RNAcentral.